This is a long non-coding RNA of Bombina bombina (fire-bellied toad), 716 nucleotides long. RefSeq lists it as uncharacterized. The transcript is spliced from 3 exons. The record is from RefSeq and is a predicted model, not a curated record. Lineage: Eukaryota; Metazoa; Chordata; Amphibia; Anura; Bombinatoridae.
ACAGAAACAGCAGCAGAGUAUAAAAUGAUGACACAACGCUCCUUUAGCUUUAUUUCUAUAACAGUUUAACCCUACAUAAGAGAGAGUAUUCCUAGAGACAGCCCUGUAAUACAGCAGCUUCUAGUCACUGACUCACCGAGUAAAUGCAACAAAUCCUCCCUGCAAGCGAUUAUACAACUCGCACUAAGGUGACAGUGGUUAUCCGUGUAGGCCUUGGCUUUUGACCCCAGUACCAUCGCCUCAUACACGUGCAGAGAUAAAAUUCAAUGAGUCACAUCGUAGUACAAGAAGUGCUAUAGAAAGAACCUUUGGUAUGUUAAAGAUGAGAUUUCGGGUGUUGGACAGGUCAGGGGGAGACUUGCAAUACUCACCAGAGAAGUGCAAUGACAUUAUUCUAGUAUGUUGCAUUUUGCAUAAUAUUGCAAUAUCUCAAGGCAACCAAGACGAAUUGUGUCCUGAGGAUCAUACAGAUGACAUCUAUGUCCCCCAAGACAUAUUAAACAGGCACACUACUAGGGCCGGUGUUCAAAACCGUAUAGAAAUUAUUGAAAGAUAUUUUUCAUAAACCAUGGAUAACACAGGACUUGUGUGAAAAUUGGACACGAAUAAUCCUCACUACUGUUAUAUGAUCAUACAGAUGAAAAAAAGUUGUGUUUAUUUGUUAAUUAAAGAAUUUUAAUUCUAUCAUUUGAAUAAAAAAAUUUAAAAAAAAUCAA